AUGGGAACGCGAAGAACCUUACCUAGACUUGACAUCUCCUGAAUAGUGUAGAGAUACAUGAAGCCCUUCGGGGCAGGAAGACAGGUGGUGCAUGGUUGUCGUCAGCUCGUGUCGUGAGAUGUUGGGUUAAGUCCCGCAACGAGCGCAACCCUUAUUACUAGUUGCUACCAUUAAGUUGAGCACUCUAGUGAGACUGCCCGGGCUAACCGGGAGGAAGGCGGGGAUGACGUCAAAUCAUCAUGCCCCUUAUGUCUAGGGCAACACACGUGCUACAAUGGUGAGUACAGAUAGAUGCGAUACCGCAAGGUGGAGCCAAACUCUAAAACUCAUCCCAGUUCGGAUUGUAGGCUGCAACUCGCCUACAUGAAGUUGGAGUUGCUAGUAAUCGCGAAUCAGAAUGUCGCGGUGAAUACGUUCCCGGGUCUUGUACACACCG
RNAcentral lists this ribosomal RNA (436 nucleotides) under uncultured bacterium. Its description in RNAcentral is "bacterial SSU rRNA". It matches the Rfam family "Bacterial small subunit ribosomal RNA", at positions 954 to 1392 of the family's 1533-position model. The record is from RNAcentral.